Molecule: microRNA precursor, 60 nt
Filed under: Sarcophilus harrisii (Tasmanian devil)
Lineage: Eukaryota; Metazoa; Chordata; Mammalia; Dasyuromorphia; Dasyuridae
Description: Sha-Mir-430-o25_pre stem-loop
Source: RNAcentral
AUCCUAACUCGGAGCACUUAUAGCAUUUAUAAGAGCCAUACGUGCUCUCUGUUAGGAUGG